GUGCCUAUUUCACAGCAGCACAUACUAAAAUUGGCACAAUACAAAGAAGACUAGCAGGAUGUUGACAUGCAAAUUCAUGAAGUAUGCUAUACUUUG
RNAcentral lists this small nuclear RNA (96 nucleotides) under Canis lupus familiaris (dog). The record is from RNAcentral. Lineage: Eukaryota; Metazoa; Chordata; Mammalia; Carnivora; Canidae. RNAcentral also lists the same sequence under 2 other names.